This 429-nucleotide ribosomal RNA is filed under the name Gemmatimonadota bacterium. RNAcentral's name for it is "Gemmatimonadetes bacterium partial 16S ribosomal RNA". It matches the Rfam family "Bacterial small subunit ribosomal RNA", at positions 355 to 776 of the family's 1533-position model. The record is from RNAcentral. Lineage: Bacteria; Pseudomonadati; Gemmatimonadota.
UAGGGAAUCUUCGGCAAUGGACGAAAGUCUGACCGAGCAACGCCGCGUGAGUGAAGAAGGUUUUCGGAUCGUAAAACUCUGUUGUUAGAGAAGAACAAGGACGUUAGUAACUGAACGUCCCCUGACGGUAUCUAACCAGAAAGCCACGGCUAACUACGUGCCAGCAGCCGCGGUAAUACGUAGGUGGCAAGCGUUGUCCGGAUUUAUUGGGCGUAAAGCGAGCGCAGGCGGUUUCUUAAGUCUGAUGUGAAAGCCCUCGGCUCAACCGGGGAGGGUCAUUGGAAACUGGGAGACUUGAGUGCAGAAGAGGAGAGUGGAAUUCCAUGUGUAGCGGUGAAAUGCGUAGAUAUAUGGAGGAACACCAGUAGCGAAGGCGGCUCUCUGGUCUGUAACUGACGCUGAGGCUCGAAAGCGUGGGGAGCAAACAGG